RNAcentral lists this ribosomal RNA (469 nucleotides) under Abiotrophia defectiva. RNAcentral describes it as "bacterial SSU rRNA". It matches the Rfam family "Bacterial small subunit ribosomal RNA", at positions 28 to 474 of the family's 1533-position model. The record is from RNAcentral. Lineage: Bacteria; Bacillati; Bacillota; Bacilli; Lactobacillales; Aerococcaceae.
GACGAACGCUGGCGGCGUGCCUAAUACAUGCAAGUCGAACGAACCGCGACUAGGUGCUUGCACUUGGUCAAGGUGAGUGGCGAACGGGUGAGUAACACGUGGGUAACCUACCUCAUAGUGGGGGAUAACAGUCGGAAACGACUGCUAAUACCGCAUAGGACAUGGGAUCACAUGAUUCUGUGAGGAAAGGUGGCGCAAGCUAUCGCUAAGAGAUGGACCCGCGGUGCAUUAGCUAGUUGGUAGGGUAACGGCCUACCAAGGCAAUGAUGCAUAGCCGACCUGAGAGGGUGAUCGGCCACAUUGGGACUGAGACACGGCCCAAACUCCUACGGGAGGCAGCAGUAGGGAAUCUUCCGCAAUGGACGCAAGUCUGACGGAGCAACGCCGCGUGAGUGAAGAAGGUCUUCGGAUCGUAAAGCUCUGUUGUUAGAGAAGAACAGCGCAUAGAGUAACUGAUAUGCGUGAGACG